This is a long non-coding RNA of Bubalus bubalis (water buffalo), 2987 nucleotides long. RefSeq lists it as uncharacterized. The record is from RefSeq and is a predicted model, not a curated record. The transcript is spliced from 3 exons. NCBI's taxonomy places the organism in Eukaryota, Metazoa, Chordata, Mammalia, Artiodactyla, Bovidae.
AGCGACCCCAUGGACUGCAGCCCACCAGGCUCCUCUGUCCAUGGGAUUUUCCAGGCAAGUGUACUGGAGUGGGGUGCCAUCGCCUUCUCUGACACACUACCUAGAAUGCUUUAUUCUCUAAAGCUCACUCCUGCUGUUUAAAAGUGUCACCAUGUUAAGGAAUGAAAAAUUAUAGCGACUGGGGAAAUGUUUUCACCUUUUUUCAUUUCCCUAGUAAAAUUAAGCAAUAAUUUUCAUUCCCCUCAGUUCCUUUUGGAACCAAGGCUAGUAGUGGAUUAAAGGACAAAUAAAUGAAUGAACAAGUCUAUGGUGUUUCUUUCUUCUGCCUCAGAAAGAUGCAGUUUCUCCUGCCAGCAGGAGAAACAGGUUAGAUGCAAGGCAGUUCCCCCAUUCCAGAGAGCCUCUGUUUUUAGGCAGUUCUGAUUCAUGAAUUGGAGAAUUGCACUAAAUUAGUGUACUGUACAGCAUGGGCCUGGUUAAGUUAAAGUAGACACUCUGACCCCCUCCACCCCUCACUCUGACCACCAAGAGUUCAUUUCCCAGGGGCAUCUGUGGGUCCCAAACAAAGGGGACCACUGAAACCCUGUCCACAUUUACCCUAUCAUAGGCCAUGUGGUAACAGAAGUUUUCAUAUUUCUUGAACACCAGCAGGAUUCUUAACAUGCCCCAGAACAGAGACGCAUGGUCUUGGGUGAUGAUUUUUAAAAAAAGAUGUCAUCUCAUUUCAUUCUGUGGGAAUUAUUUUUUAAUCAUCUGUUUUAUUGGGAAAUUUCCCAGAGAUAAUGCAGUGAGAAACUAGCCUGGAAGAAGAUAGACAAGACAGGCACAACAGGGUCAGAGUUCUUUUUAAAAUACUUCAUUUUGGAGACCAAGAAUACAACUUGUAAAUCUUUUUUAUGCUUUUAUUAUGGUAUAUAAAUUAUGACAUUUUAGGAGAAGCCCAUAAAGCCAGCAGAAGCAAGAAAGUCAAGUUUCUUUUUUUGAGCUUUCCAUAGGUAGUAUAAUUUAAAUAAUUCUAUGGUAGAAUUUCAACACCUCUGAUGGAGCACGGUUGUUUACGAAGUAAGAACAGUAAUCCUCAUGUUAAAAGGUGGCAUUGCUACCCUAGGCAGCAGAUGGUGUUAUUAAAUACACAGGCAAAGUCUAAGGUCAUAAGGAACUAACAAUUAACCAGAAAUACGAUCUGCCACAGUCGUUUAAUGGGUAACCUACCAGAUAUAUGCCACUUGUAUUAUUGUGAGUGUUGGGAGGUGUAUUGUCAAGCUUCAGAGCAGUUGCACAAUCCAUUUAGAAAUAUUGUAAUUAUAUUCUUAUUUAAGCAUUUUGUGAAACAAAAAAACCAGAAAGAAAGUGAAAAUCAGUGUGAUUUCCUCAUAAUAUUGCUCUCUCUUGCCUGCUCUGAAAAAUACUGAUUCAGAUUGCACAAUUUCAUAGCCAUCCCUGAAUUUAAUUGGUCUCCCCAAACUAAUACUAUCAGGAUUUGGGGUUUUAUACUGCUAGUGGGCGGUGUUCUAAGACCUCUUUAUGUUAUCCGAGACAUCAUUUUUGCUCCUGCACAUUUUGUACUGUGAAGGUGAUGCGAAAAGAUUUAAACCUACACAAGUGCCAACAAGGGCAUGGCUUGGAAAAAAACAGAUGUGCAGAGGAGGGGCAAUGGAUGGUGGGGAGGCAAUGGGAAGUGUAGUCAGAGACUAACCAGCAAGCAAUGAGGACACUAUUAAAGUAAAGAAGUGGGCUUAGUUUCUAUUGUAAAUUAAAUAUAAAUAUGUCAAUAAAAGUAAGAGCUUUAUACAUAACAGCUCAAUUCCCUGUGGGUUUUUUCAAGGAGUUUUCCACAGGGAAUGUGGGAUUGAUUUUCUUUCCAGUUAGGGCUUUUGAGGAUGAGGAACUGAAUCCUAAAUUCACUCCAAGGAAAAAUAACCAAGAGGGCAGCAACCAAAUCUGAAAAGCAAAGACCCAGUGACUUGGUUAGAAUUAGGAAAAGUGAAUCUUGGCCCUUUGGCCAGAACUCCAAAGGGUAUCAGAGAGUUUAACUCCAACCAUCGUAUCAACCAAUCUGAAAAACAGCAUCUGGAAAAGCAAAAACAACCCCAGUUCCCCAGGUAAAUAGAAGACGAACAAUGGAAAACAGGGUCCAGAGGUCACUGGCUAAUCAGGGUAAAUAAGUGGGUGGACAAAAGCUGUUCUUUCAUUUUCCCACUGUUGGGUUUGAUGAGGAAGUCUCAAUCACGGAAGGAAAAAAAAAGCAUGCUAAUAAGAAUGUUUUUCACAUAUUUUGAUGUGUUUAUUUACUUUUCUCCAAGUUUAAAUUGAGUAAGGAAAGCACAGCAUCUGAAGACACAGACUGCUGAGUUGAGAGCUUUGUCUCCAAGCUCAGGUAGCUUGAUUUUUCCCUGUGGCCAGGACUCCUGCUGACACUUCCAGUCGUCCUCAGAAAAGCCAUUGAGCUACCCUUGGGUUGAAUGAAUGAGAACUUUCUGGAGAGCGGAAGACUGGUGGAGGUCCAGCUGGAAAAACAUAUGGCCACAGAGGCAGAAAGAGCGCUUCUUCAGGAUUGACUGCCUCCAAUGUACCUGGACCGAAGCCAGCGCUGCAUCCUCAGGCGCCCCUAGGGAUUGUGCGUGCAGGACGGCACCACCUCACAGCCCCGCUCUGAGAUAUGGGAGCUGUUGCUGCUCUUCCUGGAAUCUCUGCUGCUGCUGCUAAGUCGCUUCAGUUGUGUCCGACUCUGUGCGACCCCAUGGACUGCAGCCACCCAGGCUCCUCCGUCCAUGGAAUCUCUGCUACAGGGACAGAAACUCUUUAAGAUUGCCUGACUUGUCAUCCAAGUCAUCCAUCCUUUUCUUCAUUUGAGACUUGAAAUUCGAACUGUGGUGCUGGAGAAGACUCUUGAGAGUCCCUGGGACAGCAAGAUCAAACCAGUCAGUCCUAAAGGAAAUCAACCCUGAAAAUUCAUUGGAAGGACUGAUGUUGAAGCUGAAGCUCCA